RNAcentral lists this microRNA precursor (94 nucleotides) under Propithecus coquereli (Coquerel's sifaka). RNAcentral's name for it is "miRNA (ENSPCOG00000011446.1)". The record is from RNAcentral. Lineage: Eukaryota; Metazoa; Chordata; Mammalia; Primates; Indriidae.
GGAGGAUGACUUGAGACCAGGAGUUUGAGGCUGCAGUGAGCUGUGAUCAUACCACUGCACUCCAGCCUGGAUGACAGAGCAAGACCCUGUGUCA